Cinara cedri is the source of this 1078-nucleotide non-coding RNA. NCBI's taxonomy places the organism in Eukaryota, Metazoa, Arthropoda, Insecta, Hemiptera, Aphididae. The record is from the annotation of a GenBank genome assembly.
CUCUUAAAAUCGAUAUAAAUAACAUUCAUUUGUUUAAUUUAGGAAAAAGAAUAUUAAAAAAAUAGUUUGAAAGUACUUAAUUUGUAGUUUUAGAUUUUUAACUAUGAAAACCAUAUUGUUGAGGUGUUAAGACAUUUUUAAAAAGAGGAGAAAGCUUUAAAUUAAUAAUUUUGGAGAAUUUUAAGAAGGAUUUAUAUUUUAUAUAUUGAGCAAUAAUUAGUUACUAAAGAUUUACCACCUUUUUUUAAUAGUUGGGGUGAUAUAAGUAUUUUUCCACCCAGUUGGGAAAGUUUGGGUUUUUAAAAAUUUGAUAACAAGACCGGUAAAGGUGGUAAAUUAACUGUUUUAUAUGUGGAUGUAAAAUAGCGACUAAAUAAAUUAACAAUACUUUGAUCAACUUCAGCCACUACGUUAUCGAAAGAUAAGGAAUUCGGAAGACUAGUGGAACCUUAUAAAUUCUUAAUAAAUGACCAAAAUUGCUUGGGAUUUGAUUUAAGUGAAUAUUGCAUCUUACUAAGAUAGUAAGUAUAACCAUGUUUGCUAUGUAAUUUACAUUGAGCUUGAAUAGAUGACAAAUUUAAGUAGUCAAUAUUAAAGUUUGAUAGCAUGAUAGUUUUAUUGUUUAAUUACAUUUCUUAACUCUUUGGAGAACUAAAUAGGAAAUUUAGAACUAAAGGAAUAAUCAAUGGUACAAUAUAAGACAGAAUAAAAUUCUUUUAAUAAUUCAUAUAUAUUACUUUUUUAAAUAUGGUGGGCCAAUCUAAAUUUUGUUUGGCUUUUAGUUCUAAAUCGACUAAAAUAUCACUGUCACCAAUUACCUUAAGUAUACUUUGUAUUUACUUUAUAAAGAUUUAAUUUGAAGUUUUAGCUGAGUUUGGCAGGCUAGGUUUCGCUAUGGAGGACUGAAUUCUCUACUAUUAUCCAAUGCUUAUAUCCACAUUAUUAUAAUUUAUAAUAUACCUACCAAUACGCGACCUUGUUUAAUAAAUUUUGUAACAAAGAUCAAUAGUAUUCAUAAAUAUGGAUAAAUUAUAAUUCAUCAAAAUACAUUUAUUAUAACAUUUUUAUGACUUAUUUU